UGGCGACCGGCGCACGGGUGAGUAACGCGUAUGCAACUUACCUAUCAGAGGGGGAUAGCCCGGCGAAAGUCGGAUUAAUACCCCAUGAAACAGGGGUCCCGCAUGGGAAUAUUUGUUAAAGAUUCAUCGCUGAUAGAUAGGCAUGCGUUCCAUUAGGCAGUUGGCGGGGUAACGGCCCACCAAACCGACGAUGGAUAGGGGUUCUGAGAGGAAGGUCCCCCACAUUGGUACUGAGACACGGCCAA
RNAcentral lists this ribosomal RNA (245 nucleotides) under uncultured bacterium. RNAcentral's name for it is "partial 16S ribosomal RNA". It matches the Rfam family "Bacterial small subunit ribosomal RNA", at positions 89 to 334 of the family's 1533-position model. The record is from RNAcentral.